GCCGUGAAAGCCCUCGAUUCUUUGUCUGUCGGUAGACGGCCUACGCACGGGAACGACGGACAUUUUUUUCAACUACUUGAUAAUCCCUCUUUACCUCGCUCCCUAAUCUUUGGGUGUCA
Molecule: antisense RNA, 119 nt
Filed under: Coxiella burnetii RSA 493
Lineage: Bacteria; Pseudomonadati; Pseudomonadota; Gammaproteobacteria; Legionellales; Coxiellaceae
Description: Coxiella burnetii sRNA 3
Rfam family: Coxiella burnetii sRNA 3
About the family: CbSRs 2, 3, 4 and 9 are located antisense to identified ORFs. CbSRs are up-regulated during intracellular growth in host cells.
Source: Rfam by way of RNAcentral